Molecule: long non-coding RNA, 6664 nt
Organism: Rhincodon typus (whale shark)
Lineage: Eukaryota; Metazoa; Chordata; Chondrichthyes; Orectolobiformes; Rhincodontidae
Exons: 5
Source: RefSeq, a predicted model, not a curated record
UAGCAGAGUGAUUUUUUUACAAAAAUUGUAAGUGAGUCAGGGAUAUACUGGAUGAAGAGAUAGUAGGAACUGCCGAUGCUGGAGUCUGAGAUAACAAGGUGUGGAGCUGGAGAAAUACAGCACGCCAAGUAGCAUCAGAGGAGCAGGAAGGCUGACGUUUCAGGUCUGGGCCCUUCUUCAUAAAUACUGUAUGAAUGUGGUUUUUUUUAAUACCGUUACUCUCAGGACAUUGGCGUCGGUGGCUGGGGCUGCAUUUUUAAUGCCUGCACCUAGUUGCCCCUUGAGAAUGUGGUGGUGAGCUGCCUUCUUGAACGGCUGCACAAGGGAGAUCCACAAUGCCCUGGGGAUGUGGGGGUGGGGGUGGAGUUCCAGGAUUUUGAUCCAGCGACAAUGAAGAAACAGCAAUACAUUUCUAAGUCAGGAUGGUGAGUGGCUUGAAGAGGAACUUGCAGUUGGUGGUGUUCCUGUGUAUCUGUUGCCCUUAUCCUUAUCUAUGUAAGUAGUUAUGAGUUUGGAAAGUUCUGUCUGAGGAGCCUCAGUGAAUUUCUGCAAUGCAUACGACACUGCUGCUACUGAGCAUCUAUGGUGAAGGGAAUAGAUGCUCUAGAUGUGAUGCCAAUCAAGUGGGCUGCUUUAUGCUGACAAGCUUCUUGAGUGUUGUUGGGGCUGCACCCAACCAGGCAAGUGGGGAGUAUUCCAUCCCACUCCUGACUUGUGCCUUGUAGAUGGGGAACAGGCUUUGAGGAGUCAGGAGAUGAGUUACUCACCGCAGUAUUCCUAGCUUUUGAUCUGCUCGUGUAGCCACUAUGUUUAUGUUACAAGUCCAGCUGAGUUUCUGGUCAAUAGUAACCCCAAGGACGUUGAUAGUGGGGGACUCAGUGAUGGUAACACCAUUGAAUGCCAAGGAGAUGUAGUUAGAUUGUCUCUUAUUGGAGAUAUCUUUGCCCUGGCAUUUGUUUGGUGCAAAUGUUACUUGCCACUUUUAGCCCAAACCUGGAUAUUGUCCAGAUCAUGUUACAUUUGAAUAUGGACUGCUUCAGUAUCUGAGGAGUCACGAAUGGUGCUGAAUAUUGUGCAAUGAUCGGUGAACAUCCCCACUUCUGACCUUAUAAUGGAGGGAAGGUCAUUGAUGAAGCAGCUGAAGAUGGUUGGGCCUAGGACAUGACCCUGAGGAACUCCUGCAGAGUUGUCCUGGAGCUGAGAUGACUGACCUCCCACAACCACGACCAUCUUCCUAUGUGUCAGGUAUGACUCCAACCACCAGAGCGUUUGUCCCCUGAUACCCAUUGAUUCCAGUUUUGGUAGGGCUCCUUGAUGCCACACUCAGUCAAAUACAGCCUUGAUAUCAAGGACUGUCACUCUCACCUCACCUCUGGAAUACAGCCCUUUUGUCCAUGUUUGAACCAAGGCUGUAAUGAGAUCAGGAGCUGAGUGGCCCUGGCGGAACCCAAACUGGGCGUCACUCAGCAGGUUAUUGCUGAGCAGGUGCUGCUUGAUAGCGCUGUUACUGACACCUUCCAUCACUUUACUGAUGAUCGAGAGGAGACUGAUGGGGCAGUAAUUGGCCGGGUUGGAUUUGUCCUGCUUUUUAUGUACAGGACAUACCUGGGCAAUUUUCCACAUUGUUGGGUAGAUACCAGUUUUAUAACUGUACUGGAAGAGUAAUGUAGUAAUGUCGCUGGUGAGUAAUUCAGAGCCCCAGGCUAAUGUUCUGACAUCACAAGCUCAAAUUCCACCAUGGCCUCUUAUGAAACAUAAAUUCUAUAUGAUAAAAUAAAAUAGAAUAGUUUUUAUUGUCACAUGCGCUUGAAUGAGUGCAGAAAAAGUUUGUCAUGUCACCUCUCAGCGCCAUCUUAGGUACAGAGUACCUAGGUACAGAUACUUUAAGGGUUAUUACAGAAUUGAAAUUGUAGAAAAAUAGACAAGCAUGGAAUACAGAGUUUAAAAAGUCUUGAAUGAUAAUAGCAAGUAUCUUUAAAGUACUCAAGUUGUAAUCGUUUUUCACUGAGUCCAUGUCCACCAGGCUUCAGAACAUGAGACCUCGCUGUCUCCACAGGUUAUCCUUAGUCCAGGACUCAACUCCCCGGCCGGCCUGAAGUUGCUCUGUUCUCACUCCGGCCGCGACUGGCUUCUGGGACUUCUGGGACAACGUGCUUUCAGUUGUUUCAGCGGCGGGAGUCCGGGAGGAAGCGCGAGGGCAGCCUGGGAAGAUUCGUCCUGAAUUUCACCCCGAUGAAUGCAUAUAAAAUUGGAUUAAUGCAGCUGUGCAGGAAUCCCAAACUUCGAGUUCCCAAUAGAGUUCGGUCAAUAUGAUUACGCUUCUCACAAGUCUCAGCAAUGAGUUGGCUCCUCAUCAGUGUGUCGAAGAACACAGUAAUAUUGUGUGGGAACCAACAAAUGAGAAAAGCCACCACCACCACGAUGAUGACUUUCAUGGCUUUAUAUUUCUGUGAUCCCUUCGUUUGAAACAGUUUCUGGAUUGUCACACUGUAACAGAAAAUCAUGAUGGCGAGAGGGAUGACAAACCCAAUAAAAUGCCGCAAAAAUCUGGUGACUAUUCUCCACCUUUCAGCUAAUUCCCCAACAAGCAUCUCAUAACACAUCUGUCUUGUGGAACCAGGUGGAGUAAAUUCACCUUUGUAUAAAACUGGUAAAGACAAGACAAAAGCCAUCAACCAAACAGCAGCACAAACCAGCUGAGAUAUAAAUGGUCUCUUCUGCUUGUGGGUCUGUGUAGCGUAGACAAUGGACAGAAAACGAUCAAUACUGAUACAAGCCAGCAAUAAAAUCCCACUGUAGAAGUUAAUCUCCUGUAACAUGCUGAUAAUUUUACACAUGGCAUCACCAAACAUCCAGCCAGAUACGGCAUCCACUGCCCAAAAAGGCAAGGUCACAGCAAAGAGCAAAUCAGCCACUGCCAGAUGUAGCAGGCCAUCAUGAAGGACCAGACAUGCACUGCUUGGAGACGAGGCCUUCCCUACCAUGACCGACAAUGCCUGUCUAUCACCCAAACACACAAGUACAACUGCUUACAAUGAGAGCCACACAGAUAUAAUGGAGCAAAUAAUCAGCAUCCUUAAGUGAUGGUUCUAUGAGCUGAACCAGUGACAACGAGACUCUUGACAGAAUUUCAGUGGAAGGUCAUGAUGGUCUGCCCUGCUGCCCAUAACCUCAGUGUUAGGAGGACUCAGCAAUUACCACCAGCCAGAUGGAUACCAUCUCGGGAGGAUGAUGAGGAAGGGGGGAGGCAAGGAGGAAGACGCCAGGAAACUACGCCCCCACUCUUUGUUCCAGCUGGCUGUCUUGACAUAUCAUCCAAUAACUGCUUGUUAACUCAGCUGGAGUUCUGUACAAACCGCUUAUGCAUUUGUGCAGAGAGAGAAAUAAUGCAGCAGAUACCAAGGAGUGGGCCCUCUACAGGCAAAGUGGUGGACUAAUCAUCUUCAAAGCUGUCGCUUUGAUCACUUUUGUAAGUAAAGCUUAAAAACAAAGUUCAGAAUUGUAUUGUUCGUCAAUUAGUUACUAAGUCACUCGUUCUUUAUCAUUUAUUUUUUUUAUUUGCCAUUUUGCUGAUAGACAUCAACCAAUGUCACAAAGACUUUACACGCCAGAUGAGGAAGAGGAUGAAGAUCUCGUAUAUUGUGAAUCAUAACUUCGCUUCAUGAUGCCUUUUGAAGCCAAGAGCUUGAACAGAUUCCUCCUGAAUUUCACCCCGAUAAACCCAUAUACAAAUGGGUUAAUGCAACUGUGCAGGAAUCCCAAACUUCGAGUUCCAAUUAAAGUUUGAUCAAUACGAUUACGCUUCUCACAAGUCUCAGCAAUGAGUUGGCUCCUCAUCAGUGUGUCGAAGGACACAGCAAUAUUGUGUGGGAACCAACAAAUGAGAAAAACCAAUACCACCACGAUGAUGAUUUUCAUGGCUUUAUGUUUCUGGAAUCCCUUCGUUUGAAACAGUUUCUGGAUUGUCACACUGUAACAGAAGACCAUGACAGCCAAUGGGAUGAGAAAUCCAAUAAAAUGCCGCAAAAAUCUGGUCGUCACUCUCCAAAUUGCUGCUGAUUCCCCAUCAAGCAUCUCAUAACACAUCUGUCUUUUGGAACCAGGUGGAGUAAAUUCACCUUUGUACAAAAUUGGUAAAGAUAAGACAAUAGCCAUCAACCAAACAGCAGCACAAACCAGCUGAGAUAUAAAUGGUCUCUUCUGCUUGUGGGCCUGUGUAGCGUAGACAAUGGACAGAAAACGAUCAAUACUGAUACAAGCCAGCAAUAAAAUCCCACUGUAGAAGUUAAUCUCCUGUAACAUGCUGAUAAUUUUACACAUGGCAUCACCAAACAUCCAGCCAGAUACGGCAUCCACUGCCCAAAAAGGCAAGGUCACAGCAAAGAGCAAAUCAGCCACUGCCAGAUGUAGCAGGAUGUGGAGUUUGCUGGCUAAGUUGGCAUUUAUUGCUAAGAGUGGGAAUCUGGAGUCAUAUGUGAGCCAGGAUAAGGAACAGCAGAUUUCCUUCCCUAAAGUACAUUCAUAAACCAGAUGGAUUUUUAUGACAAUUGACAAUGGCUACAUGGCCAUCAUUCAUCCAGCUUCUUAUUGAAGUCAAAUUUCACAUUCUGCCAUGAUGGGAUUUGAAACCAUCUUCCCCAGAACAUUAAUCUAGGAUUCUAGAUUGCUAGACCAGAGACAUUAGCACUACACCACCUCCUUCACAUUUGUGUGAUUAUAUAUCUCCAUCUCCCACAGUCAUCGACAUUUCUCAUAGUAUAGGGGAUUCCUAUGUUCUGGAACCUGUGCAAAAGACAUGUGGCCAGUCAGAAGAUUGGACAGAAUCUAAAAAACAGCAAAGAAUGACCAAAAACCUAAUAAUUCGUGAAAAAUUUGAGUAGGAAGGAAAGCUAGUCAGAAAUAUUAAAAAAAGAUUGUCAGAAUUUCUAUGAAUUGGCAAAGUGAGCACUGGUCUGUAGAAAGUGAGUUUGGAGAAUUAGUAAUGGAAAGUAAUGGAAAGUAAGGAAAUGGCAGAUGACUUGAACAGGUAUUUUACACCAGUCUUUGCUGUAGAGGAUGCAAGUGACACCCCAAGAAGCAUCAAUAAAUUACAAAAUGGAAGUGGCAGAGGAACUCGUCGAAGGCUGAGGGGUGACCUUAUACAGGUUUAUAAAAUCAUGUGUGGCGUGGAUAAGGUAAAUAGCCAAGGUCUUUUUCCCAGGGUGGAAGAAUCCAAAGCUAGAGGGCAUAGGUUUAAGGUGAAAGGGGAAAGAUUUAAAAAGGGCACGAGGGGUAACUUUAUCACACAGAGGGUGGUGCGCGUAUGGAACGAGCUGCCAAAGGAAGUGGUGAGGCAGGUAUAAUGACAACAUUUCAAAGGCAUCUGGAUGGGUACUUGAAAAGACAGGGUUUAGAGAGAUUUGAGCCAAAUGCUGGAAAAUGGAUCUGGGUUAGAUUGAGAUGUGGACAAGUUGGACUGAAGGGUCUGUUUCCGUGCUGUAUCAUUCUAUGACACUAUGACUCCAUAACUCAAGAAAAUCAUAAUCACUAGAGAAAUGGUACUGAGUACAUUGUUGGAGCUGGGGUCUGAUGAGUGCUUGUGUCCUGUUGGACUUCAUCCUAGGGUCUUAGAAGACGUGGCUGAUGAGAUGGUUGUUACAUUGGUUUUAAUUUUUCAAAAUUCACUUGAUUUGGAUAGUCUCAUUACAUUGAAGACAGAAAGCAGGAAACUAUAGGCUUAACUUCUGUCAUAGGUAAAAAUUAUUGUUUGGAAAACUUAAGUUUGAAGAAUUGUGAAGAAAGAAAUGUGCUUCAAGUUUUGUGGAAGUCCCUUGAGGGCUCCCUUUAAAAGAGGUUAUUGAAGUGAAUUUGUAGGCAUGCUCGCCAAGUCCGUGGGUUUGUUUGCAAACGUUUGGUCAUCCUACUAGGUAACAUCGUCAGUGCGCCUCCGAUGAAGCAUCAGUGUUCUGUCCCACUUAUUAUUUAUAUGCCUCAGCUUGCUGAGGUGAUUGGCAUUACUUCCGGUUCAGUUUCUCAGUGGAUUGAACACAGGGUCUAAUUCAAUGCGUUUGUUGAUGGAGUUCCGUUUGGAAUACCAGGCCUCCAGGAAUUCCCUGGUGUGUUUCUGUUUGGCUUGAGCAGCUGAAAAGGGUGGGCUUUAGUCAGCUGGACUGAGGAUAAAAUACAGCUCAUGGCAAUUGGGGAUGAUACCCCCAUUUCAAAUACACGUGAGGAAGGACAUAUUUUAAAAUCUCAGCCGAAAAAGCAAUUCUGAAUGAAUAUUUCCAGCUGAUCUCAGCCCAUUUCUGAAGCAAAGGUCCUGUACAUCAGCUCAGGGUGAAAUCUACUUGUUCUUUUGAAAAAUGAUUGAAAGAACACCUCAGGUUUGCAUUUCCUGAGCAUCAGCACAACACAUUCCAAACUGAUCUAUACUUAAUCCUUUUCCCUUCAAAAUAAGCCAUUGGCCAAAGAGCUUUUUCAGAAAACAAACCUCUGCCAAGAGAUGUGAUUUUAUUUUCUCUCUUCACCUGAAGAGUUAUCUGUGUUUGAGUAUUGUUUGCAGGUAGGUUUUGGAAAUAAUUACAGGGAUCAGCACUUAUGCUUCAAUAUGACUAUGUGUAUAAAUCAAUGAUUACAUGAGAAUUGAAUAAAUUUUGUUUUGAUAAUAAAUUGAUUAUUGUGCCCA